This 488-nucleotide ribosomal RNA is filed under the name uncultured bacterium. Its description in RNAcentral is "partial 16S ribosomal RNA". It matches the Rfam family "Bacterial small subunit ribosomal RNA", at positions 29 to 507 of the family's 1533-position model. The record is from RNAcentral.
ACGCACGCUGGCGGCGUGCUUAACACAUGCAAGUCGAACGGAAAGGCCCCCACCUUGGUGGGGGUGCUCGAGUGGCGAACGGGUGAGUAACACGUGGGUGAUCUGCCCUGUACUUCGGGAUAAGCUUGGGAAACUGGGUCUAAUACCGGAUAGGACCAUGGUUUAGUGUCUCAUGGUGGAAAAAUUAUUGUUUUGGUGCAGGAUGAGCUCGCGGCCUAUCAGCUUGUUGGUGGGGUAAUGGCCUACCAAGGCGUCGACGGGUAGCCGGCCUGAGAGGGUGGACGGCCACAUUGGGACUGAGAUACGGCCCAGACUCCUACGGGAGGCAGCAGUGGGGAAUAUUGCACAAUGGGCGCAAGCCUGAUGCAGCGACGCCGCGUGGGGGAUGACGGCCUUCGGGUGGUAAACUCCUUUCGUUAGGGACGAAGCCACACCUUUUUUGGGUGUGGUGACGGUACCUUUGUGAAGAAGCACCGGCUAACUACGUG